This 405-nucleotide ribosomal RNA is filed under the name uncultured bacterium. RNAcentral's name for it is "bacterial SSU rRNA". It matches the Rfam family "Bacterial small subunit ribosomal RNA", at positions 355 to 774 of the family's 1533-position model. The record is from RNAcentral.
UAGGGAAUAUUGCGCAAUGGGGGAAACCCUGACGCAGCGACGCCGCGUGAGUGAUGAAGGCCUUAGGGUCGUAAAGCUCUGUCGUAGGGGACUAAAAAAAUGAAGGUACCCUACAAGAAAGGACCGGCUAACUUCGUGCCAGCAGCCGCGGUAAGACGAGGGGUCCUAGCGUUGUUCGGAAUCAUUGGGCGUAAAGCGGGUGUAGGUGGCUUUAUAAGUCAGAUGUGAAAGCCCUAGGCUUAACCUAGGAAGUGCAUUUGAUACUAUGAGGCUUGAGUGUCAGAGAGGGUAGUGGAAUUCCUGGUGUAGUGGUGAAAUACGUAGAUAUCAGGAGGAACAUCGGAGGCGAAGGCGGCUACCUGGCUGAACACUGACACUAAGACCCGAAAGCGUGGGGAGCAAACA